Molecule: long non-coding RNA, 542 nt
Organism: Rhopalosiphum maidis (corn leaf aphid)
Lineage: Eukaryota; Metazoa; Arthropoda; Insecta; Hemiptera; Aphididae
Exons: 4
Source: RefSeq, a predicted model, not a curated record
UAUAUGAUCUUCAGCUGUAAAUUGUUUUCAAAUUUUUUGUAAUAAGAAUGAAGUUUGUCCGUUAGUUUUUUUCCAUAUCUGAAUUAAUCAGUGUUGGCCGCGUACUAGUUGUCAUAUAUAAAUUUUAGUACUUCUUAUGAUGACAAUACAGCAGUUUACUCAAGGAAUGGAGACGCAUGGAUUCACUUAUCUCACACGUGGGAAAGUAUCAAAAUCCUACAUUAAUGGACUGGAGGAGGUCGAGAAUAUUGCAGGUUUAAUGCAGUCUACGUAUAAUAGUUACUCAAAGUAAUUAAAAUUCAAUUGAUAGAAGUGCAUCAAAAAGAUGGUGUCAUGAAACCCUGACCAUUACAUAAAAAGGCAGUACGGCAGAUCACUCAAGUCACGCUGAUACAUGAAUUCACAUUACUCACACGUGGGAUAGUAUCAACAGCCUACGUUGCAAAUGGACUAGAAGAUGCUGAGAAUAAUACAUGUUAUAUGCAAUAUGGCACUACGGCAGAUCACACAAGGCAUGCUGAGACAUGGAUUCACAUUUCUCA